AUGGAGCAGGGCUGGGAAUGCAGCACUGCUGGGAAUGCAGCACUGCUGGGAGUGCAGCACUGCUGGGAAUGCAGCACUGCUGGGGAUGCAGCACUGCUGGGAGUGCAGCACUGCUGGGAGUGCAGCCCGAGCCGGGAGUGCAGCCCGCGCUGGCUGAGCGUGGAUGAAAUCCCGGUGGGAUGCAGCUGGAGCAGGAGCAGCGCAGGGCAGGCGGUGGCACACGGAGCUCCUGCAGGGAGCGGAACACAGCACGGAGCAGGAGGCCACAGGCAGCUUCCCACGGCACAGGGCAGCAGCAGCUCAGAGCAGGGUGCCAGGGGCAGAUCGCCCUGGCACAGCAGCAGCAGCACCAGCACAGAGCAGGGUGCCAGGGGCAGAUCUCCCUGGCAGGAGCAGCAGGAGCAGCACUGGCACAAACCCUGGCACAGAGCAGUGCAGCCCAGGGUGCCAGAGCCAGUUUCCUAUGGCACAGCAGGAGCAGCACAGAGCAGGAUGCCAGAGGUGGUUUUCCCUGGCACAGCAGGAGCAGCACCAGCACAGAGCAGCAUUUCAGAGCCAGCUCUCCCANNNNNNNNNNNNNNNNNNNNGCUCUCCCAAGGAUUUCAGAGCCAUCUCUCCCAGGAGCAGGAUUUCAGAGCCAGCUCUCCCAAGGAUUUCAGAGCCAUCUUUCCCAAGGAUUUCAGAGCCAGCUUUCCCAGGAGCAGCCCCACACGGCUCUUGCACAGGGACAAUUCCUGUUUGCAGCUCUCUCCCCGUGUGCCCCUGGCAAAGGGCAGCCCUGGGGUGGUGCCAGCGGCCGUGCCCCAUCUCCAGGCCAGGCAGGAGCAGGCACCAGGGCUCUCUCCUGAGGGUGCCCAGAGAUUCUGGAAGGCUGCAGGGGGAACGUGACGAGGAUUCUGAGGAGCAUCAGUGAGAUUCCUGUGGUGGGUCGGGGAUUCCUCCUGGAGCCAGGUGCAGCUCCCACGGUCCCAGUUCACGGGAGGGCUCUGGGCACAGGCAGCACGCUGGGGACCUCAGACCCGGAGGAUUUCGGGGCUUGGGGCGGAAUGUGGCCGGUGGGACGCUCCACGGGGCUCUCGCAGCCUGCUCCUCCCCUCAGCAAGGAGCACCCCCGAUGGCAAAGAGGGAGAAAUCAGCUGGGGACCUGCAGGAGAGGGGCUGAUUUCCCAGAGGGAACGGAUCCGCCCGGGGGCUCCUGCAGCAGCUCCCACCCACCCCUGGGAAGGGGCUGCCGGGGGUGCAGCCCCGUCCCCGACAGCCCCUCGGAGCAGGACCAGGGCACGUCCUGGGACGGAGCUGCCGGGCUCGGCCGAGUCUUCUGCCAGCUGCUGCCUGCCCAGAGCGGGGCUGGGCCCCCCGA
Molecule: long non-coding RNA, 1360 nt
Filed under: Serinus canaria (Common canary)
Lineage: Eukaryota; Metazoa; Chordata; Aves; Passeriformes; Fringillidae
Description: lncRNA (ENSSCAG00000000008.1)
Source: RNAcentral